UCUGUGAGGACGAUAGAUUUC
Molecule: unclassified non-coding RNA, 21 nt
Filed under: Mus musculus (house mouse)
Lineage: Eukaryota; Metazoa; Chordata; Mammalia; Rodentia; Muridae
Description: oocyte_clustered_small_RNA9286
Source: RNAcentral